GUGCUGGCUUCAGCAGGACAAACACCAAAAGAUGAAUGAUACAGAGAAAAUUAGCAUGGUUCCUGCCCAAGGAUGACAUACAAAUUUGUGAAGUAGUCUGUCUUUAA
Molecule: small nuclear RNA, 107 nt
Organism: Onychomys torridus (southern grasshopper mouse)
Lineage: Eukaryota; Metazoa; Chordata; Mammalia; Rodentia; Cricetidae
Source: RefSeq, a predicted model, not a curated record